CCUACGGGAGGCAGCAGUGGGGAAUAUUGCGCAAUGGGCGAAAGUCUGACGCAGCGACGCCGCGUGAGGGAUGAAGGUCUUCGGAUCGUAAACCUCUGUCAGCAGGGAAGAACGGUCACUGUGCUAAUCAGCAGUGAAUUGACGGUACCUGCAAAGGAAGCACCGGCUAACUCCGUGCCACCAGCCGCGGUAAUACGGAGGGUGCGAGCGUUAAUCGGAAUUACUGGGCGUAAAGCGCUCGUAGGCGGUAUGUCAAGUCAAGGGUGAAAUCCCCGCGCUCAACGGGGGAACUGCCUUUGAAACUGGCAAACUGGAGUGUGUUAGAGGAUAGUGGAAUUCCAGGUGUAGCAGUGAAAUCCGUAGAUAUCUGGAAGAACACCAGUGGCGAAGGCGACUAUCUGGCACAUAACUGACGCUGAGGAGCGAAAGCGUGGGUAGCAAACAGGAUUAGAUACCCUUGUAGUC
Molecule: ribosomal RNA, 465 nt
Filed under: uncultured bacterium
Lineage: Bacteria
Description: partial 16S ribosomal RNA
Rfam family: Bacterial small subunit ribosomal RNA
Source: RNAcentral